UACGGAGGUGGCAAGCGUUGUCCGGAAUCAUUGGGCGUAAAGCGCGUGUAGGCGGUCCGGUAAGUCGGUUGUGAAAGUCCAGGGCUCAACCCUGGGAUGCCGACCGAUACUGUCGGACUAGAGUUCGGAAGAGGCGAGUGGAAUUCCCGGUGUAGCGGUGAAAUGCGCAGAUAUCGGGAGGAACACCAAUGGCGAAGGCAGCUCGCUGGGACGUUACUGACGCUGAGACGCGAAAGCGUGGGGAGCAAACAGG
This 253-nucleotide ribosomal RNA is filed under the name uncultured bacterium. Its description in RNAcentral is "partial 16S ribosomal RNA". It matches the Rfam family "Bacterial small subunit ribosomal RNA", at positions 524 to 776 of the family's 1533-position model. The record is from RNAcentral.